GCGCGAGUGGCGGAAUUGGCAGACGCGCUGGAUUUAGGUUCCAGUGUCUACGGACGUGGGGGUUCAAGUCCCCCCUCGCGCACCA
Molecule: transfer RNA, 85 nt
Filed under: Gordonia rubripertincta
Lineage: Bacteria; Bacillati; Actinomycetota; Actinomycetes; Mycobacteriales; Gordoniaceae
Also listed under: 32 other names
Description: tRNA-Leu
Rfam family: tRNA
About the family: Transfer RNA (tRNA) molecules are approximately 80 nucleotides in length. Their secondary structure includes four short double-helical elements and three loops (D, anti-codon, and T loops).
Source: RNAcentral